RNAcentral lists this ribosomal RNA (440 nucleotides) under uncultured bacterium. RNAcentral describes it as "partial 16S ribosomal RNA". It matches the Rfam family "Bacterial small subunit ribosomal RNA", at positions 338 to 795 of the family's 1533-position model. The record is from RNAcentral.
CCUACGGGAGGCAGCAGUGGGGAAUAUUGCACAAUGGGGGAAACCCUGAUGCAGCGACGCCGCGUGAGUGAAGAAGGAUUUCGGGAUGGAAAGCUCUAUCAGCAGGGAAGAAAAAGACGGUACCUGAGGAAGAAGACACGGCUAACUACGUGCCAGCAGCCGCGGUAAUACGUAGGGGGCAAGCGUUAUCCGGAUUUACGGGGUGUAAAGGGAGCGUAGACGGCAGCACAAGUCUGGAGGGAAAUGCCGGGGCGUAACCCCGGAACUGCGUGGGAAACUGUGCAGCUAGAGUGCAGGAGAGGUAUGUGGAAUUCCUAGUGUAGCGGUGAAAUGCGUAGAUAUUAGGCGGAACCCCAGUUGCGAAGGCGGCUUACUGGUCUGUAACUGACGUUGAGGCUCGAAAGCGUGGGUAUCAAACAGGAUUAGAUACCCUUGUAGUC